GCAGUAGGGAAUCUUCCGCAAUGGACGAAAGUCUGACGGAGCAACGCCGCGUGAGUGAUGAAGGCUUUCGGGUCGUAAAACUCUGUUGUUAGGGAAGAACAAGUACAAGAGUAACUGCUUGUACCUUGACGGUACCUAACCAGAAAGCCACGGCUAACUACGUGCCAGCAGCCGCGGUAAUACGUAGGUGGCAAGCGUUAUCCGGAAUUAUUGGGCGUAAAGCGCGCGCAGGCGGUUUCUUAAGUCUGAUGUGAAAGCCCACGGCUCAACCGUGGAGGGUCAUUGGAAACUGGGGAACUUGAGUGCAGAAGAGAAAAGCGGAAUUCCACGUGUAGCGGUGAAAUGCGUAGAGAUGUGGAGGAACACCAGUGGCGAAGGCGGCUUUUUGGUCUGUAACUGACGCUGAGGCGCGAAAGCGUGGGGAGCAAACAGGAUUAGAUACCGCKGGUAGUCA
Molecule: ribosomal RNA, 454 nt
Filed under: Priestia megaterium
Lineage: Bacteria; Bacillati; Bacillota; Bacilli; Caryophanales; Bacillaceae
Description: bacterial SSU rRNA
Source: RNAcentral